This 105-nucleotide microRNA precursor is filed under the name Marmota monax (woodchuck). Lineage: Eukaryota; Metazoa; Chordata; Mammalia; Rodentia; Sciuridae. The record is from RNAcentral.
AGAGGAAUUGCUGGGUCAUAUAUGGUAACUCUAUGCUUAAUAUUUUGAGGAAUUUCCAAACCAUUUUCCAAAGUGCCUGAACCAUUUUACAGUUCCACCAACAAU